RNAcentral lists this ribosomal RNA (1048 nucleotides) under uncultured archaeon. RNAcentral describes it as "bacterial SSU rRNA". It matches the Rfam family "Archaeal small subunit ribosomal RNA", at positions 1 to 1054 of the family's 1478-position model. The record is from RNAcentral.
UCCGGUUGAUCCUGGCGGAGGUUACUGCUAUCGAGGUUCGACUAAGCCAUGCGAGUCGAAUGUAGCAAUACAUGGCGUACUGCUCAGUAACACGUGGACAACCUACCCUGAGGUCGGGGAUAAACCCGGGAAACUGGGUAUAAUACCCGAUAGAUCUAGAUUGCUGGAAUGCUUUUAGGUCUAAAGUUCCGACGCCUCAGGAUGGGUCUGCGGCCUAUCAGGGUAGUAGUGGGUGUAAAGUACCUACUAGCCUACGACGGGUACGGGUUGUGAGAGCAAGAGCCCGGAGAUGGAUUCUGAGACACGAAUCCAGGCCCUACGGGGUGCAGCAGGCGCGAAACCUUUACAAUGCUGGCAACAGCGAUAAGGGGACCUCGAGUGCUACGAUACAAUCGUGGCUGUCUAGUUGCCUAAAAAGCAAUUGAUAGCAAGGGCCGGGCAAGACCGGUGCCAGCCGCCGCGGUAACACCGGCGGCUCGAGUGGUAACCGCUAUUAUUGGGUCUAAAGGGUCUGUAGCCGGCUUAGUUAGUCUCUUGAGAAAUCUGGCCGCUCAACGGUCAGGCGUUCAGGGGAUACUGCUAAAGCUCGAGGCCGGGAGAGGUGAGAGGUACUUCAGGGGUAGGGGUGAAAUCUUGUAAUCCUUGAAGGACCACCAGUGGCGAAGGCGUCUCACCAGAACGGAUCUGACGGCAAGGGACGAAAGCUAGGGGCACGAACCGGAUUAGAUACCCGGGUAGUCCUAGCCGUAAAUGAUACUCGCUAGGUGUCGGCCACGGUGCGACCGUGGUCGGUGCCGUAGGGAAGCCGUGAAGCGAGCCACCUGGGAAGUACGGCCGCAAGGCUGAAACUUAAAGGAAUUGGCGGGGGAGCACUACAACGGGUGGAGCUUGCGGUUUAAUUGGAUUCAACGCCGGAAAUCUUACCGGGGCCGACAGCGAUAUGAAGGCCAGGCUAAGGACCUUGCCUGAUUAGCUGAGAGGUGGUGCAUGGCCGUCGUCAGUUCGUACUGUGAAGCAUCCUGUUAAGUCAGGCAACGAGCGAGACCCA